ACGAACGCUGGCGGCGUGCCUAACACAUGCAAGUCGAACGGGACUUAAAUGGAAUGCGACUUCGGUCAAAUGAAAUUAAGUUUAGUGGCGAACGGGUGAGUAACGCGUGAGCAACCUGCCUUUCAGAGGGGGACAACAGUUGGAAACGACUGCUAAUACCGCAUGAUGUGUCGAGACCGCAUGGUCUUGACACCAAAGAUUUUAUCGCUGAAAGAUGAGCUCGCGUCUGAUUAGAUAGUUGGUGAGGUAACGGCUCACCAAGUCGACGAUCAGUAGCCGGACUGAGAGGUUGGACGGCCACAUUGGGACUGAGACACGGCCCAGACUCCUACGGGAGGCAGCAGUGGGGAAUAUUGCACAAUGGGCGCAAGCCUGAUGCAGCGAUGCCGCGUGAGGGAAGAAGGUUUUAGGAUUGUAAACCUCUGUCUUCAGGGACGAUAAUGACGGUACCUGAGGAGGAAGCUCCGGCUAACUACGUG
This 479-nucleotide ribosomal RNA is filed under the name uncultured bacterium. Its description in RNAcentral is "bacterial SSU rRNA". It matches the Rfam family "Bacterial small subunit ribosomal RNA", at positions 29 to 507 of the family's 1533-position model. The record is from RNAcentral.